RNAcentral lists this ribosomal RNA (558 nucleotides) under Triticum aestivum (bread wheat). RNAcentral's name for it is "partial small subunit ribosomal RNA". The record is from RNAcentral. Lineage: Eukaryota; Viridiplantae; Streptophyta; Magnoliopsida; Poales; Poaceae.
AUGACAUUUUUUCUUGUUGAUUUCAUCAGAUGGUUAACAUUCCAAGCUUGUGCUUAUAGAGGCCAUGACGAAUCUCCGGGAUCAAGUAAUAAGGGUAAUUUUCUUCAUUUGGUGAGGUUCUUGGCUUCUUAUAGCAAAGAGGUGAAUGCGGUUGUUUUGGAAAAUGCUCCAAGGAAUGCGAAGUACACCUCCCAUACAGUGCAACUAGAAAUCCUCACAUUACUUUCUAGUAGAGUUAAGGAAAAAAUUAGAGAUGAAAUUGGUACUAGCAAGUUCUGCAUAAUGGUAGAUGAAGCACGAGAUGAAUCAAAGAAAGAGCAAAUGGCAUUGGUUCUUCGAUUCCCGAGCACCGAGGGGUUCAUACAGGAGCGUUUUCUUGAUGUAAUUCAUGUCACUGAUGUAGGGGAACGCAGCAGAAAACAAAAAAUUUCCGACCUACACACCAGCCCAGGACCACUAUGGAGACUGCAUACAUGGUUUGAUCUUUUUCGUUACCGACUCGUAGCGCAGCGGGAAGUAGAGUCGAUGACGAUCGGCGGUGCAGAUCCCCGCAGAUAG